This 468-nucleotide ribosomal RNA is filed under the name uncultured bacterium. Its description in RNAcentral is "partial 16S ribosomal RNA". It matches the Rfam family "Bacterial small subunit ribosomal RNA", at positions 28 to 507 of the family's 1533-position model. The record is from RNAcentral.
GACGAACGCUGGCGGCGUGCUUAACACAUGCAAGUCGAACGGUAAGGCCCUGCUUUUGUGCUUUUCUCGAGUGUCGAACGCGUGUGUAACACGUGUGUAACCUGCCCUUUUCUUUGGGGUAACUUCAUUAAACUGGGUCUAAUAUCGGAUAUGAGCUCCUGCUGCAUGUUGGGGUUUGGAAAGUUUCGCCGUUUGUGCAUGGACUCGCGGCUAAUCGUCUUGUUGGUGGGGUAGUGGCUUACCAAGGCUUUGACGGGUCGCCGGACUGAGAGGGUGACCGGGCACAUAGGGACUGAGAUACGGCCCAGAGGCAUACGGGAGGCAGCAGUGGGGAAUAUUGCAAAAAGGGCGGAAGGCGGAUGCAGCAACGCCGGGUGCGGGAUGACUGCCUUAGGGUUAUAAACAGCUUGCGCCUGUGAAGAAGAGUGAGUGACGGUAAUGGAUAAAGAAGCACCGGCUAACUACGUG